AGGCGGGGCCACCUACUAAGAUUAAGCCUAUCAAUAAGUGGAGGAAAAGAAACUUACUAGGAUUCCCCUAGUAACGGCAAGCGAAUUGGGAACUGCCCAACAUGGGAAUCGAGUGGCCCCGCUGCUCGAAUUGUAGUAUGUAGAAGCGUCCUCAGCGGCGGACUGGGCACAAGUCCCUUGGAAGGGGGUGUCGGAGAGGGUAAGAACCCCAUCGUGCCCGGACCCUGCCGCACCACGAGACGUUGUUGGGUUGUUUGAAAAUGCAGCCCUAAUUGGGUUGUAAAUUCAGUCUAAGGCUAAAUACCGACGAGAGACCCAUAGCUGGGUUGUUUGAAAAUGCAGCCUUAAUUGGGUGGUAAAUUCAGUCCAAGGCUAAAUACCGACGAGAGACCCAUAACAAAUAAAUACCGCGAGGGAAA
This 419-nucleotide non-coding RNA is filed under the name Amborella trichopoda. RNAcentral describes it as "Bacterial large subunit ribosomal RNA". It matches the Rfam family "Eukaryotic large subunit ribosomal RNA", at positions 13 to 362 of the family's 3401-position model. Lineage: Eukaryota; Viridiplantae; Streptophyta; Magnoliopsida; Amborellales; Amborellaceae. The record is from Rfam by way of RNAcentral.